Molecule: ribosomal RNA, 253 nt
Filed under: uncultured bacterium
Lineage: Bacteria
Description: partial 16S ribosomal RNA
Rfam family: Bacterial small subunit ribosomal RNA
Source: RNAcentral
UACGGAGGGUGCGAGCGUUGUCCGGAAUUAUUGGGCGUAAAGGGCUCGUAGGCGGUCUGUUGCGUCGGGAGUGAAAACUUACAGCUUAACUGUGAGCGUGCUUUCGAUACGGGCAGACUUGAGGCAUUCAGGGGAGAACGGAAUUCCUGGUGUAGCGGUGAAAUGCGCAGAUAUCAGGAGGAACACCGGUGGCGAAGGCAGGUCUCUGGGCCACUACUGACGCUGAGAAGCGAAAGCAUGGGGAGCGAACAGG